RNAcentral lists this ribosomal RNA (634 nucleotides) under uncultured bacterium. Its description in RNAcentral is "bacterial SSU rRNA". It matches the Rfam family "Bacterial small subunit ribosomal RNA", at positions 265 to 917 of the family's 1533-position model. The record is from RNAcentral.
UCACCAAGGCGACGAUCAGUAGCCGACCUGAGAGGGUGAUCGGCCACAUUGGAACUGAGACACGGUCCAAACUCCUACGGGAGGCAGCAGUGGGGAAUAUUGCACAAUGGGCGAAAGCCUGAUGCAGCAACGCCGCGUGAGCGAUGAAGGCCUUCGGGUCGUAAAGCUCUGUCCUCAAGGAAGAUAAUGACGGUACUUGAGGAGGAAGCCCCGGCUAACUACGUGCCAGCAGCCGCGGUAAUACGUAGGGGGCUAGCGUUAUCCGGAAUUACUGGGCGUAAAGGGUGCGUAGGUGGUUUCUUAAGUCAGAGGUGAAAGGCUACGGCUCAACCGUAGUAAGCCUUUGAAACUGAGAAACUUGAGUGCAGGAGAGGAGAGUAGAAUUCCUAGUGUAGCGGUGAAAUGCGUAGAUAUUAGGAGGAAUACCAGUUGCGAAGGCGGCUCUCUGGACUGUAACUGACACUGAGGCACGAAAGCGUGGGGAGCAAACAGGAUUAGAUACCCUGGUAGUCCACGCCGUAAACGAUGAGUACUAGGUGUCGGGGGUUACCCCCCUCGGUGCCGCAGCUAACGCAUUAAGUACUCCGCCUGGGAAGUACCGCUCGCAAGAGUGAAACUCAAAUGAAUUGACCGG